UGCCUGCAGUCUGAUUGCAGCAAUGAGAAUCAGCUGCCAUAAUUGGCUCACACCAGUCACCUGUUUGCAAUUCCACCUCCCAGCAUAUAAGCCAGCUCUGUCAUUCACUCUCUGCUCCACCAUGAGCUCUGAUGGCCUGCAUCAACUCGUGACCACCGGAGCUUCUUGGACACGAUGCUGCCCUUGUACCCCUGCCGGUUCCUGUUUGGGUUUCCUACCUACCCCUUCAGUUGAGUUUCUUCCUAUUCCCUUCCUCCCUGACUGUUCCACCUGCCUGCAGUCUGAUUGCAGCAAUGAGAAUCAGCUGCCAUAAUUGGCUCACCACCAGUCACCUGUUUGCAAUUCCACCUCCCAGCAUAUAAGCCAGCUCUGUCAUUCACUCUCUGCUCCACCAUGAGCUCUGAUGGCCUGCAUCAACUCGUGACCACCAGAGCUUCUUGGACACGAUGCUGCCCUUGUACCCCUGCCGGUUCCUGUUUGGGUUUCCUACCUACCCCUUCAGCUGAGUUUCUUCCUGUUCCCUUCCUCCCUGACUGUUCCACCUGCCUGCAGUCUGAUUGCAGCAAUGAGAAUCAGCUGCCGUAAUUGGCUCACCACCAGUCACCUGUUUGCAAUUCCACCUCCCAGCAUAUAAGCCAGCUCUGUCAUUCACUCCCUGCUCCACCAUGAAUGCGCACAUCCUGCAUCAACUCGUGACCACCAGAGCUUCUUGGACACGAUGCUGCCCUUGUACCCCUGCUGGUUCCUGUUUGGGUUUCCUACCUACCCCUUCAGCUGAGUUUCUUCCUAUUCUUUCAGCCCUUCCUCCCUGACUGUUCCACCUGCCUGCAGUCUGAUUGCAGCAAUGAGAAUCAGCUGCCAUAAUUGGCUCACCACCAGUCACCUGUUUGCAAUUCCACCUCCCAGCAUAUAAGCCAGCUCUGUCAUUCACUCCCUGCUCCACCAUGGAUGCGCACAUCCUGCAUCAACUCGUGACCACCAGAGCUUCUUGGACACGAUGCUGCCCUUGUACCCCUGCCGGUUCCUGUUUGGGUUUCCUGCCUACCCCUUCAGCUGAGUUUCUUCCCAUUACCAUCUGCUACAAAGCAUUACUGGGUAACAGAUACACCUAAUGAAGAUCAGAAAUAUUCAAGCAGAAACCUUCAGCUUCCAUGAAGAUUGAAAUCAUUCUGCCAAGAAGACCCAACAACCUUCAAAGACAAAUUGAAAAUGGGUAAGAAAUGAAAGUACACACUGUUUAGUCUAGACCAUAAUUUGUGCCAAUGUCUGUGCUUUUAGAUUCUAUCAAGAUGGGAAAAAUAAACAUUGAUAAAAGUGUAGUCUGGGUAAAAUACACCACCUGCUUAAGCAUGACUGGCUGGAUUUUUAACUGACCUGCUGAUAAAUGUUUCAAAGGUGAACACGGACCUUUCUGGAGGAUGUUGCACAAGGAGUUUUGUCAUUGUUGCCACAGUCUGGUUUCGACACCAUUCCACUUGACUCGACUCCACUCGACUCCAUUCCACUCGACUCCAUUCCACUCCACUCGACUCGACUCCAUUCCACUCGACUCCA
Molecule: long non-coding RNA, 1554 nt
Organism: Amphiprion ocellaris (clown anemonefish)
Lineage: Eukaryota; Metazoa; Chordata; Actinopteri; Pomacentridae
Exons: 5
Source: RefSeq, a predicted model, not a curated record